Molecule: long non-coding RNA, 503 nt
Organism: Mirounga angustirostris (Northern elephant seal)
Lineage: Eukaryota; Metazoa; Chordata; Mammalia; Carnivora; Phocidae
Exons: 3
Source: RefSeq, a predicted model, not a curated record
CACGUCAAGUCUGGUUGUUUUUACCUUCUUCAAAUAUCUUGCAUCUGUUCCUUUUUGUUCCCAUUGCCGAGUCUUUAGUUCAGGGAGAAACCACCCUCACAUAUCUCGGUGACUCCUUCAGCAGCUGACUGGCCUCCAUGCCUCCCGUUUUAACCAACUCCAACAACUUAUCCAGCAUCGCCUUUAUAAGAGGGACCAAGCCUGGCCAUGCUGGAAGACAACCGCAUGUUUGUGAAAAACAUGAAGUGUGUGGAUGUCCCGCCAAGAGCCUAAGGAGCCAGCCACACUUCACUUCCACAAAGGACUGAGUACUUCACUCAGGGUCCAGACUGCAGUUCUUAAAGAGGGGGAUGGUCUGUCACAGGUGGCAUCUUUCCCUUGGGUUUCCCUCUUUACCUGCCGUGGACCCGUGCUCAGGUUGUGGGACAAAGGGGACUGUGGUAGAGCCUUAACAGAAAGGUUUCACAUGUGGCUCUGUAAGACCUGGAUAAUAAAGUAUAAUC